AAACAUUCAAUUAAAUAAAUGAUAAAUAAAAAACUUAAUACAUAUAAUAUUAUAAAAUAGUUUUAUUGUGAAAUUUAGUGUUAUGGUUGGAGAAGACCUUGAUUUUAGUGUUGAAAUUACACUAAAAUAGUGUGGUUUUGACACUAAAAUAGAGUUAAUGGUUGGAGAUGCCCUUAAGCACUGUAGGGGCCACUACAAAAUCAAUUGUAUAUAGGGCUUGUGUAUAUUACGUAUGCUUUCAAAACUAUUGUAAAUCAACGACCAUUGAAAAAGGAAAGAAAGAAAGAAACGUGGUGAAUGAAUCCCACAGAAAUGAAAUAAAAACAUAUAGCAAAAUCUCAUAGUUUGGUGUCACGCGAAUAACGAUUAUAAAAAAUUAGUUUGUUUUAGAUAGAAAAAAUAAAAAUUAGUUUACAAAAAAAAAAAAAGAAUGAAAAACGAAUCAAAGCUGGAAUAACCGAUAGAGACGGAGACGCCAUGAUUUAUAAGUAGAAAUGACACGUUGGAGCUGACUCAAUCAAUCUCUCACAAGUCACAUCUCUAUCAAUAGAGAAACACGCCAUGAUUUAUAAGUAAAAACGUAUGUUCUCUUUUCUUUUCUUUUUGUUCUCUCCCGUUUUUUUUUAAAUCUUUUUCAUCCUUUUCAAAAAUUAACGGUACCAAGAUUUGUAGUAGACCGUGUACCUUACCUGGUGAUUGCUUCAGUAAUAAUUGUCUGUGUGUGUAUUUGAUAUUUAUUUUCUGAAAAGGCCAUAAUCAAUUUAAACAUACAUGCUAUGAUGUGCAUUGUCAUCACAAAUUCAUGUUUUGUCUUUUACAUGCAAACAUAUGUGUAUGAUGAAAAUAAUCUAUCCACUAUUUGACAUUUUGGAAUUGGCGAUCCGGAAAAAAGAAAGAAUAUAUAAGCUUAAAC
RNAcentral lists this long non-coding RNA (913 nucleotides) under Brassica rapa (field mustard). RNAcentral describes it as "long non-coding RNA (BRAP_LNC007435)". Lineage: Eukaryota; Viridiplantae; Streptophyta; Magnoliopsida; Brassicales; Brassicaceae. The record is from RNAcentral.